UAAGUGCUUCUUCCUCACAAGGACUU
Molecule: non-coding RNA, 26 nt
Filed under: Rattus norvegicus (Norway rat)
Lineage: Eukaryota; Metazoa; Chordata; Mammalia; Rodentia; Muridae
Source: RNAcentral